Small nuclear RNA from Otolemur garnettii (small-eared galago), 163 nucleotides. Its record names the gene U1. It matches the Rfam family "U1 spliceosomal RNA". From Rfam's summary of the family: U1 is a small nuclear RNA (snRNA) component of the spliceosome (involved in pre-mRNA splicing). The record is from Ensembl. NCBI's taxonomy places the organism in Eukaryota, Metazoa, Chordata, Mammalia, Primates, Galagidae.
AUAUUUACCUGGCAGGGAAGAUAACAUAAUCACAAAGGUGGCUUUCCCAGGGCAAGGCUUAUCCAUUGCACUCCAGAUGUGCUGACGCCUGUGAUUUUCCCAAAUUGGGAAACUCAACUGCAUAAUUUGUGGUAGUGGGGGACUGCAUUCGCACUUUCUCCUA